UACGGAGGGGGCAAGCGUUAUUCGGAAUUAUUGGGCGUAAAGGGCGCGUAGGCGGCUAGAUGUGUCAAAGGUGAAAUCCCUCGGCUCAACUGAGGAACUGCCUUUGAAACUGUCUGGCUUGAGGCCGGGAGAGGGUAGCGGAAUUCCCAGUGUAGCGGUGAAAUGCGUAGAUAUUGGGAGGAACACCGGUGGCGAGGGCGGCAUCCUGGACCAAUAUUGACGCUGAGGAGCGAAAGCUAGGGGAGCAAACGGG
This 253-nucleotide ribosomal RNA is filed under the name uncultured bacterium. RNAcentral's name for it is "partial 16S ribosomal RNA". It matches the Rfam family "Bacterial small subunit ribosomal RNA", at positions 524 to 776 of the family's 1533-position model. The record is from RNAcentral.